CGCGACCCCAGGUCAGGCGGGAGUACCCGCUGAGUUUAAGCAUAUCAAUAACGGAGGAAAAGAAACUUACAAGGAUUCCCCUAGUAACGGCGAGCGAACCGGGAAUAGCCCAGCUUGAAAAUCGAGCGGCCUCGUCGUUCG
This 141-nucleotide ribosomal RNA is filed under the name Griselinia racemosa. Its description in RNAcentral is "partial 28S ribosomal RNA". It matches the Rfam family "Eukaryotic large subunit ribosomal RNA", at positions 1 to 140 of the family's 3401-position model. Lineage: Eukaryota; Viridiplantae; Streptophyta; Magnoliopsida; Apiales; Griseliniaceae. The record is from RNAcentral.